This 492-nucleotide ribosomal RNA is filed under the name uncultured bacterium. RNAcentral's name for it is "partial 16S ribosomal RNA". It matches the Rfam family "Bacterial small subunit ribosomal RNA", at positions 29 to 507 of the family's 1533-position model. The record is from RNAcentral.
AGUGAACGCUGGCGGUAGGCCUAACACAUGCAAGUCGAACGGCAGCACAGUAAGAGCUUGCUCUUACGGGUGGCGAGUGGCGGACGGGUGAGGAAUACAUCGGAAUCUACUUUUUCGUGGGGGAUAACGUAGGGAAACUUACGCUAAUACCGCAUACGACCUACGGGUGAAAGCAGGGGAUCUUCGGACCUUGCGCGAUUGAAUGAGCCGAUGUCGGAUUAGCUAGUUGGCGGGGUAAAGGCCCACCAAGGCGACGAUCCGUAGCUGGUCUGAGAGGAUGAUCAGCCACACUGGAGCUGAGACACGGUCCAGACUCCUACGGGAGGCAGCAGUGGGGAAUAUUGGACAAUGGGCGCAAGCCUGCUCCAGCCAUACCGCGUGGGUGAAGAAGGCCUUCGGGUUGUAAAGCCCUUUUGUUGGGAAAGAAAAGCAGCAGGUUAAUACCCCGCUGUUCUGACGGUACCCAAAGAAUAAGCACCGGCUAACUUCGUG